This 445-nucleotide ribosomal RNA is filed under the name uncultured bacterium. Its description in RNAcentral is "bacterial SSU rRNA". It matches the Rfam family "Bacterial small subunit ribosomal RNA", at positions 330 to 792 of the family's 1533-position model. The record is from RNAcentral.
GCCAGACUCCUACGGGAGGCAGCAGUGGGGGAUAUUGCACAAUGGGGGGAACCCUGAUGCAGCGACGCCGCGUGGGUGAAGAAGCGCCUCGGCGCGUAAAGCCCUGUCAGCAGGGAAGAAAAUGACGGUACCUGACUAAGAAGCCCCGGCUAAAUACGUGCCAGCAGCCGCGGUAAUACGUAUGGGGCAAGCGUUAUCCGGAUUUACUGGGUGUAAAGGGAGUGCAGGCGGCUUGGCAAGUCUGAUGUGAAAGGCUGGGGCUCAACCCCAGGACUGCAUUGGAAACUGUUAGGCUGGAGUGUCGGAGAGGUAAGCGGAAUUCCUAGUGUAGCGGUGAAAUGCGUAGAUAUUGGGAGGAACACCAGUGGCGAAGGCGGCUUACUGGACGACAACUGACGCUGAGGCUCGAAAGCGUGGGGAGCAAACAGGAUUAGAUACCCCUGUA